RNAcentral lists this long non-coding RNA (1725 nucleotides) under Pongo abelii (Sumatran orangutan). RNAcentral describes it as "lincRNA". The stretch from base 510 to 614 matches the Rfam family "Maternally expressed 3 conserved region 2". Lineage: Eukaryota; Metazoa; Chordata; Mammalia; Primates; Hominidae. The record is from RNAcentral.
AGAGAGGGAGCGCGCCUUGGCUCGCUGGCCUUGGCUGCGGCUCCUCGGGAGAGCUGGGGCGCCCACGAGAGGAUCCCUCACCUGGGUCUCUCCUCAGGGAUGACAUCAUCCGUCCACCUCCUUGUCUUCAAGGACCACCUCCUCUCCAUGCCGAGCUGCUGCCAAGGGGCCUGCUGCCCAUCUACACCUCACGAGGGCACUAGGAGCACGGAUUCCUGGAUCCCACCAACAUACAAAGCAGCCACUCACAGACCCCCAGGACCAGGAUGGCAAAGGAUGAAGAGGACCGGAACUGACCUGCCAGCUGUCCCUCUUACCUAAAGACUUAAACCAAUGCCCUAGUGAGGGGGCAUUGGACAUUAAGCCCUGACUUUUGCUAUGCUCAUGCUUUGACUCUAUGAGUACUUUCCUAUAAGUCUUCGCUUGUGUUCACCUGCUAGCAAACUGGAGUGUUUCCCUCCCCAAGGGGGUGUCAGUCUUUGUCGACUGACUCUGUCAUCACCCUUAUGAUGUCCUGAAUGGAAGGAUCCCUUUGGGAAAUUCUCAGGAGGGGGACCUGGGCCAAGGGCUUGACCAGCAUCCUGCUGGCAACUCCAAGGCCCUGGGUGGGCUUCUGGAAUGAGCAUGCUACUGAAUCACCAAAGGCAUGCCCCACCUCUCUGGAGAUCUUCCUAUCCUUUUCUGGGGAAUGGGGUCAAUGGGAGCAACCUCCUAGGGUUGUUGUGAGAAUUAAAUGAGAUAAAAGAGGCCUCAGGCAGGAUCUGGCAUAGAGGAGGUGAUCAGCAAAUGUUUGUUGAAAAGGUUUGACAGGUCAGUCCCUUCCCACCCCUCUUGCUUGUCUUACUCGUCUUAUUUAUUCUCCAACAGCACUCCAGGCAGCCCUUGUCCACGGGCUCUCCUUGCAUCAGCCAAGCUUCUUGAAAGGCCUGUCUACACUUGCUGUCUUCCUUCCUCACCUCCAAUUUCCUCUUCAACCCACUGCUUCCUGACUCGCUCUACUCCGUGGAAGGGCACUCACAAAGGUUCCCAGUGCCCCCGACAAGCCCCUGCUGGUGUCUCCAUCUCCUGCCAAGCAUCCUGCAAUGCCGCCUCCUGUGGGCCUGGCCUCAGGGCUAUGGACAGACUCCUGUCCCAUCCCAGAGACCCCUCGUGAUCGUGCCCUGUAGUCACCCCACUCCACCAAAAAGCAAACUGCAGGCACGUGGGCCGCGGCCCAGCUGGGUCGGCUGAAGAACUGCGGAUGGAAGCUGUGGAAGAGGCCCUGAUGGGGCCCACCAUCCCGGACCCGAGUCUUCUUCCUGGAGGGCCUCUCGUCUCCUUCCUGUUUUGGGCGGAAGCCAUCACCUGGAUUCCUACGUGGGAAGGGACCUCGAAUGUGCGACCCCAGCCCCUCUCCAGCUCGAAAUCCCUCCACAGCCACGGGGACGCCCUGCACCUAUUCCCACGGGACAGGCUGGACCCAGAGACUCUGGACCCGGGGCCUCCCCUUGAGUAGAGACCCGCCCUCUGACUGAUGGACGCCGCUGACCUGGGGUCAGACCCGAGGGCUGGACCCCUGCCCACCCCGCAGGAACCCUGAGGCCUAGGGGAGCUGUUGAGCCUUCAGUGUCUGCAUGUGGGAAGUGGGCUCGUUCACCUACCUCACAGGGCUGUUGUGAGGGGCGCUGUGAUGCGGUUCCAAAGCACAGGGCUUGGCGCACCCCACUGUGCUCUCAAUAAAUGUGU